Loxodonta africana (African savanna elephant) is the source of this 125-nucleotide ribosomal RNA. The record is from Ensembl. Lineage: Eukaryota; Metazoa; Chordata; Mammalia; Proboscidea; Elephantidae.
GUCUUGGACAAUUCUUUGACUCUUUAAAUUCUAUCUGAUCUAAUCUGAUCUCAGAAGCUGAGCAGGGUCAGUCCUAGUUAGUACCUAGAUGGGAGAACGCCUGGGAAUACCGGGUGCUGUAGGCU